CAUAGCUCGAGUCCCUCUUCUUUGUGCCACUGCUCUCUGGCUUCUCUGCUUCACUCAUCCACCUGCCCCAGUCUUCAGGAAAUGGAAUAUGAUGGAAUGAGCAAACACUGAACACAGUUUUACCUGUUUAUCUCUUGGAUCAUCACUGGAAACCUCAACUAUCCUGGUUCCUACUGCCUGGAACACAGAUGUGACGGCGGAAGUUCUGGCAGCCAUUUUCUACCAUGAGAACAAAUGCCGGAUGACG
Suricata suricatta (meerkat) is the source of this 247-nucleotide long non-coding RNA. RefSeq lists it as uncharacterized. NCBI's taxonomy places the organism in Eukaryota, Metazoa, Chordata, Mammalia, Carnivora, Herpestidae. The transcript has 3 exons. The record is from RefSeq and is a predicted model, not a curated record.